GUGGGGAAUAUUGGACAAUGGGCGAAAGCCUGAUCCAGCCAUGCCGCGUGUGUGAAGAAGGUCUUCGGAUUGUAAAGCACUUUAAGUUGGGAGGAAGGGCAGUAAGUUAAUACCUUGCUGUUUUGACGUUACCGACAGAAUAAGCACCGGCUAACUUCGUGCCAGCAGCCGCGGUAAUACGAAGGGUGCAAGCGUUAAUCGGAAUUACUGGGCGUAAAGCGCGCGUAGGUGGUUUUGUAAGUUGGAGGUGAAAUCCCCGGGAUCAACCUGGGAACUGCCUCCAAGACUGGAUGACUAGAGUACGGUAGAGGGUAGUGGAAUUUCCUGUGUAGCGGUGAAAUGCGUAGAUAUAUGAAGGAACACCAGUGGCGAAGGCGACUACCUGGACUGAUACUGACACUGAGGUGCGAAAGCGUGGGGAGCAAACAGGAUUAGAAACCCCGGUAGUCC
RNAcentral lists this ribosomal RNA (450 nucleotides) under uncultured bacterium. RNAcentral describes it as "partial 16S ribosomal RNA". It matches the Rfam family "Bacterial small subunit ribosomal RNA", at positions 354 to 796 of the family's 1533-position model. The record is from RNAcentral.